UACGUAGGGUGCAAGCGUUAAUCGGAAUUACUGGGCGUAAAGCGUGCGCAGGCGGUUGUGCAAGGCCGAUGUGAAAUCCCCGGGCUCAACCUGGGAAUUGCAUUUGUGACUGCACGGCUAGAGUGUGUCAGAGGGGGGUAGAAUUCCACGUGUAGCAGUGAAAUGCGUAGAGAUGUGGAGGAAUACCGAUGGCGAAGGCAGCCCCCUGGGAUAACACUGACGCUCAUGCACGAAGGCGUGGGGAGCAAACAGG
RNAcentral lists this ribosomal RNA (253 nucleotides) under uncultured bacterium. RNAcentral describes it as "partial 16S ribosomal RNA". It matches the Rfam family "Bacterial small subunit ribosomal RNA", at positions 524 to 776 of the family's 1533-position model. The record is from RNAcentral.